GCGCUGGAGAACUGAGGGGGGCUGCUCCUAGUACGAGAGGACCGGAGUGGACGCAUCACUGGUGUUCGGGUUGUCAUGCCAAUGGCACUGCCCGGUAGCUAAAUGCGGAAGAGAUAAGUGCUGAAAGCAUCUAAGCACGAAACUUGCCCCGAGAUGAGUUCUCCCUGACCCUUUAAGGGUCCUGAAGGAACGUUGAAGACGACGACGUUGAUAGGCCGGGUGUGUAAGCGCAGCGAUGCGUUGAGCUAACCGGUACUAAUGAACCGUGAGGCUUAACCUUACAACGCCGAAGGUGUUU
Molecule: ribosomal RNA, 298 nt
Filed under: Escherichia coli
Lineage: Bacteria; Pseudomonadati; Pseudomonadota; Gammaproteobacteria; Enterobacterales; Enterobacteriaceae
Description: partial 23S ribosomal RNA
Rfam family: Bacterial large subunit ribosomal RNA
Source: RNAcentral